RNAcentral lists this ribosomal RNA (394 nucleotides) under uncultured bacterium. RNAcentral's name for it is "partial 16S ribosomal RNA". It matches the Rfam family "Bacterial small subunit ribosomal RNA", at positions 338 to 729 of the family's 1533-position model. The record is from RNAcentral.
CCUACGGGAGGCAGCAGUGAGGAAUAUUGGUCAAUGGGCGUAAGCCUGAACCAGCCAAGUCGCGUGAAGGAUGACGGUUCUAUGGGUCGUAAACCUCUUUUAUAUGGGAAUAAAGUGCGGGACGUGUGGGGUUUUGUAUGUACCAUAUGAAUAAGGAUCGGCUAACUCCGUGCCAGCAGCCGCGGUAAUACGGAGGAUCCGAGCGUUAUCCGGAUUUAUUGGGUUUAAAGGGUGCGUAGGCGGCUUUUUAAGUCAGUGGUGAAAGUUUGCGGCUCAACCGUAGAAUUGCAGUUGAAACUGGCAGUCUUGAGUACGUUAGAGGCAGGCGGAAUGCGUGGUGUAGCGGUGAAAUGCUUAGAUAUCACGAAGAACCCCGAUUGCGAAGGCAGUUCAC